This 512-nucleotide ribosomal RNA is filed under the name uncultured bacterium. RNAcentral describes it as "bacterial SSU rRNA". It matches the Rfam family "Bacterial small subunit ribosomal RNA", at positions 16 to 518 of the family's 1533-position model. The record is from RNAcentral.
UUAUGGCGUCAGGAUGAACGCUGGCGAUAGGCCUAACACAUGCAAGUCGAGGGGCAGCAUAGAGUAGCAAUACUUUGAUGGCGACCGGCGCACGGGUGAGUAACACGUAUGCAACCUACCUACAUCAGGGGAAUAACCCGGAGAAAUUCGGACUAAUACCGCAUAAUACAGGGAUGCCGCAUGGUAAUAUUUGUUAAAGAUUUAUCGGAUGUAGAUGGGCAUGCGUUCCAUUAGCUGGUUGGUAAGGUAACGGCUUACCAAGGCAACGAUGGAUAGGGGAACUGAGAGGUUUGUCCCCCACACUGGAACUGAGACACGGACCAGACUCCUACGGGAGGCAGCAGUGAGGAAUAUUGGUCAAUGGACGAGAGUCUGAACCAGCCAAAUCGCGUGAAAAGGAAGACUGCCCUACGGGUUGUAAACUUCUUUUGUACAGGAAUAAAAGACAUUACGUGUAAUGUAUUGCAUGUACUGUACGAAUAAGCAUCGGCUAACUCCGUGCCAGCCGCCGC